This 462-nucleotide ribosomal RNA is filed under the name uncultured bacterium. Its description in RNAcentral is "partial 16S ribosomal RNA". It matches the Rfam family "Bacterial small subunit ribosomal RNA", at positions 338 to 795 of the family's 1533-position model. The record is from RNAcentral.
CCUACGGGAGGCAGCAGUGAGGAAUAUUGGUCAAUGGGCGCAGGCCUGAACCAGCCAAGUCGCGUGAGGGAAGACUGCCCUAUGGGUUGUAAACCUCUUUUAUAAGGGAAGAAUAAUGACUACGUGUAGUCAGAUGCCCGUACAUUAUGAAUAAGCAUCGGCUAACUCCGUGCCAGCAGCCGCGGUAAUACGGAGGAUGCGAGCGUUAUCCGGAGUGACUGGGUGUAAAGAGUUGCGUAGGUGGCAUAGUAAGUAGCUAGUGGAAUCUGGUGGCUCAACCAUUCAGACUAUUAGCUAAACUGCUAAGCUCGAGACCGUUAGGGGUAACUGGAAUUUCUAGUGUAGGAGUGAAAUCCGUAGAUAUUAGAAGGAACACCGAUAGCGUAGGCAGGUUACUGGGACGGUUCUGACACUAAGGCACGAAAGCGUAGGGAGCAAACGGGAUUAGAUACCCGAGUAGUC